AGAGAAGUUAAAUAACUGGCCCACAGUCCCACAGCAAGUGGCGAAGGGGUCUUUCUUUGUCUGUUCCUUCCUUUCUUCCACUUCCCACUCCUUCAGCAAAGACAAUGUGGUGCAAGAGAAAGGAAGAGUUUGUGGAUGAAUCGGGCAGGAAAUCAGUAGGCCCUAGCCUUCCUCAGUCACCUGAUGCAGCAUUUGGACUCUGCGGCCCUGAUGGACUUUGUGAGACACAACAGAGUAGAGCUACACCAUCUUUAAGCCUCUCCAGUUCUACAAUCCCAUGAACCCCAUGAGGUCUAUAAACAAG
This 304-nucleotide long non-coding RNA is filed under the name Equus caballus (horse). RNAcentral describes it as "lncRNA (ENSECAG00000058991.1)". Lineage: Eukaryota; Metazoa; Chordata; Mammalia; Perissodactyla; Equidae. The record is from RNAcentral.